CCUAUGCUGCCAAGAAAAGCCUCUAGCGAGUGUUAAAGCCGCCCGUACCCCAAACCGACACAGGUGGUCAGGUAGAGAAUACUAAGGCGAUCGAGAUAACUAUGGUUAAGGAACUCGGCAAAAUGCCCCCGUAACUUCGGGAGAAGGGGGGCCCGUUCUGGUGAGGAGAUUUACUCUCCGAGCUGGGAUUGGCCGCAGAGACCAGGCCCAAGCGACUGUUUACUAAAAACACAGGUCCAUGCUAAGUCGCAAGACGCUGUAUAUGGACUGACGCCUGCCCGGUGCUGGAACGUUAAGGGGACGGGUUAGCGACUUCGGUCGCGAAGCUCAGAACUUAAGCGCCAGUAAACGGCGGUGGUAACUAUAACCAUCCUAAGGUAGCGAAAUUCCCUGUCGGGUAAGUUCCGACCUGCACGAAUGGCGUAACGACUUGGGCGCUGUCUCAACCGUAGACUCGGCGAAAUUGCACUACGAGUAAAGAUGCUCGUUACGCGCGGCAGGACGGAAAGACCCCGGGACCUUUACUACAGCCUGGUAUUGGUGGUCGAUUCGAUUUGUGUAGGAUAGGUGGGAGACUGUGAACUUCGGACGCCAGUUCGAAGGGAGUCAUCGUUGAAAUACCACUCUGAUCGUAUUGGCUGUCUAACCUAGAUCCGUAAUCCGGAUCAGGGACAGUGCCUGGUGGGUAGUUUAACUGGGGCGGUUGCCUCCUAAAAUGUAACGGAGGCGCUCAAAGGUUCCCUCAGCCUGGUUGGCAAUCAGGUAUCGAGUGUAAGUGCACAAGGGAGCUUGACUGUGAGACUGACGGGUCGAGCAGGGACGAAAGUCGGAACUAGUGAUCCGGCGCUGGCAAGUGGAAGCGGCGUCGCUCAACGGAUAAAAGGUACCCCGGGGAUAACAGGCUGAUCUUGCCCAAGAGUCCAUAUCGACGGCAUGGUUUGGCACCUCGAUGUCGGCUCGUCGCAUCCUGGGGCUGGAGUAGGUCCCAAGGGUUGGGCUGUUCGCCCAUUAAAGCGGCACGCGAGCUGGGUUUAGAACGUCGUGAGACAGUUCGGUCCCUAUCCGCCGCGCGCGUAAGAGUCUUGAGAAGAUCUGUCCCUAGUACGAGAGGACCGGGAUGGACGAACCUCUGGUGUGUCAGUUGUCCUGCCAAGGGCACUGCUGAUUAGCUACGUUCGGAAGAGAUAACCGCUGAAAGCAUCUAAGCGGGAAACUCGCUUCAAGAUGAGGGCUCUCACAGGGUUAACCUGGUAAGGCCCCCAGUAGACCACUGGGUUGAUAGGCCGGAAGUGGAAGUGCGGUAACGCAUGCAGCUGACCGGUACUAAUAGGCCGAGGACUUGCC
RNAcentral lists this ribosomal RNA (1344 nucleotides) under metagenome. Its description in RNAcentral is "bacterial LSU rRNA". It matches the Rfam family "Bacterial large subunit ribosomal RNA", at positions 1599 to 2925 of the family's 2925-position model. The record is from RNAcentral.